Molecule: ribosomal RNA, 460 nt
Filed under: uncultured bacterium
Lineage: Bacteria
Description: partial 16S ribosomal RNA
Rfam family: Bacterial small subunit ribosomal RNA
Source: RNAcentral
CCUACGGGAGGCAGCAGUGAGGAAUAUUGGUCAAUGGACGCAAGUCUGAACCAGCCAUGCCGCGUGCAGGAAGACGGCUCUAUGAGUUGUAAACUGCUUUUGUACGAGUGUAAACGCCGCUACGCGUAUCUUUCUGAAAGGAUCGUACGAAUAAGGGACGGCUAACUCCGUGCCCGCAGCCGCGGUAAUACGGAGGAGUCAAGCGUUAUCCGGAUUUUUUGGGUUUAAAGGGUGCGUAGGCGGUGCGAUAAGUUAGAGGUGAAAUCCCGAGGCUCAACUGCGGAAUUGCCGCUGAUACUGUUCGGCUAGAGAGUAGUUGCGGUAGGCGGAAUGUAUGGUGUAGCGGUGAAAUGCUUAGAGAUCAUACAGAACACCGAUUGCGAAGGCAGCUUACCAAGCUACUUCUGACGUUGAGGCACGAAAGCGUGGGGAGCAAACAGGAUUAGAUACCCGAGUAGUC